This 431-nucleotide ribosomal RNA is filed under the name uncultured bacterium. RNAcentral describes it as "bacterial SSU rRNA". It matches the Rfam family "Bacterial small subunit ribosomal RNA", at positions 354 to 796 of the family's 1533-position model. The record is from RNAcentral.
GUGGGGAAUAUUGCGCUAAUGCGCGAAAGCGUGACGCAGCGACACCGCGUGGGGGAUGAAUGCCUUCGGGUUGUAAACCCCUUUCGACAGGGAAGAAGCUAACGUGACGGUACCUGUAGAAGAAGUCCCGGCUAACUACGUGCCAGCAGCCGCGGUAAGACGUAGGGGACGAGCGUUGUCCGGAUUUAUUGGGCGUAAAGCGCGCGCAGGCGGUUACGCAAGUCGGGAGUGAAAAUCCGGGGCUCAACCCCGGACCUGCACCCGAUACUGCGUGACUAGAGGUAGGUAGGGGAGAUCGGAAUUCCUGGUGUAGCGGUGAAAUGCGCAGAUAUCAGGAGGAACACCGGUGGCGAAGGCGGAUCUCUGGGCCUUACCUGACGCUCAGGCGCGAAAGCUAGGGGAGCGAACAGGAUUAGAAACCCGAGUAGUCC